This 1041-nucleotide ribosomal RNA is filed under the name Heyndrickxia coagulans. Its description in RNAcentral is "bacterial SSU rRNA". It matches the Rfam family "Bacterial small subunit ribosomal RNA", at positions 1 to 1031 of the family's 1533-position model. The record is from RNAcentral. Lineage: Bacteria; Bacillati; Bacillota; Bacilli; Caryophanales; Bacillaceae.
GAUUAGAGUUUGAUCCUGGCUCAGGACGAACGCUGGCGGCGUGCCUAAUACAUGCAAGUCGUGCGGACCUUUUAAAAGCUUGCUUUCAAAAGGUUAGCGGCGGACGGGUGAGUAACACGUGGGCAACCUGCCUGUAAGACUGGGAUAACGCCGGGAAACCGGGGCUAAUACCAGAUAGUUUUUUCCUCCGCAUGGAGGAAAAAGGAAAGGCGGCUUCGGCUGCCACUUACAGAUGGGCCCGCGGCGCAUUAGCUAGUUGGCGGGGUAACGGCCCACCAAGGCAACGAUGCGUAGCCGACCUGAGAGGGUGAUCGGCCACAUUGGGACUGAGACACGGCCCAAACUCCUACGGGAGGCAGCAGUAGGGAAUCUUCCGCAAUGGACGAAAGUCUGACGGAGCAACGCCGCGUGAGUGAAGAAGGCCUUCGGGUCGUAAAACUCUGUUGCCGGGGAAGAACAAGUGCCGUUCGAACAGGGCGGCGCCUUGACGGUACCCGGCCAGAAAGCCACGGCUAACUACGUGCCAGCAGCCGCGGUAAUACGUAGGUGGCAAGCGUUGUCCGGAAUUAUUGGGCGUAAAGCGCGCGCAGGCGGCUUCUUAAGUCUGAUGUGAAAUCUUGCGGCUCAACCGCAAGCGGUCAUUGGAAACUGGGAGGCUUGAGUGCAGAAGAGGAGAGUGGAAUUCCACGUGUAGCGGUGAAAUGCGUAGAGAUGUGGAGGAACACCAGUGGCGAAGGCGGCUCUCUGGUCUGUAACUGACGCUGAGGCGCGAAAGCGUGGGGAGCAAACAGGAUUAGAUACCCUGGUAGUCCACGCCGUGAACGAUGAGUGCUAAGUGUUUAGAGGGUUUCCGCCCUUUAGUGCUGCAGCUAACGCAUUAAGCACUCCGCCUGGGGAGUACGGCCGCAAGGCUGAACUCAAGGAAUUGACGGGGGCCCGCACAGCGUGAGGCAUUGGUGGUUUAUUCGAGCACGCGAGACCUUACCAGGUCUUGACAUCCUCUGACCUCCCUGGAGACAGGGCUUCCCUUCGGGGACGAUG